UAAACUGUUUUGUUUUACCUUGACAGGCUGGGUAAUAUUAUAUUAGCCAUGUCAUGUUGUCGAAAUUUUUAUUGAUUUGGUGGGUUAUUUGAUUAGCUUACUGCAGUGGGCGGGUUUCCGUGGACCAGCCUAUUAGAGGGGCACAGUAAAUCCCGUUAUAUUUUACCUUAGUACGAGAGGCACGAAGGGUAUCUCCUAAGGUAAGUUUAGAGUUCACUUCACGUCGAACCACCACGUGAGGAUGAAACUCAACCAACGCCAAGGAAUGGCUAUAUUUUAAAAGUAAAAACAUGUUUUAUGGGU
Molecule: long non-coding RNA, 303 nt
Filed under: Theobroma cacao (cacao)
Lineage: Eukaryota; Viridiplantae; Streptophyta; Magnoliopsida; Malvales; Malvaceae
Description: long non-coding RNA (TCAC_LNC002430)
Source: RNAcentral